This is a non-coding RNA of Kogia breviceps (pygmy sperm whale), 1644 nucleotides long. Lineage: Eukaryota; Metazoa; Chordata; Mammalia; Artiodactyla; Physeteridae. The record is from RefSeq and is a predicted model, not a curated record.
AGGAGUUGCCACCGAGAUCGGACACCGGAGAGAGAGCUUCUAAUGUCGCGUAAAGUAAGGCCGAUCUCCGGUCACCCGGCGAGGCGGAUGACAACAGCGUCCUUGUAGGCAGGCUGGCUGGAGUGUCGGGCUUCAGGAGACGCGGAGGGGAACCGGAGUAGAGAUAUAUGAGCUCUUUGAAAGCAGAACACUGUUGUUUCCAUGUUCUGACCAUUCAGAGAUUAUGAAGGCACAGUUCCUGCCUUUGAUUUGCUUACAGUCAAGCGGAGUAGACACAGGUCAUCGUGGCAGUAUAGCCACUUAAGUAUUCUGAAGGAGAUUUAUCAGCAGGUUGCAGGUGAACAUGGCCUUGAGCCAGGCGGGUCUCCUGGUUCCUCCAGUACAGGAAGCUCACGCCUGCACAGGGGCCAGGUGCUGCCUCCAUCCACUGUCUCAGGCCUCAGCCCUUCCCAUGCAUCAGGUCUCAGUUCAGACGUCUACUCUAUCCAAAGUUAUUAUUUCUGCCUCCCCCAGCCCCACACAGGCUCACCCACAACCAAGAAACACUCCUUGUUUUUCUUCCAUAAUUAUUCUCCAGUGGCAGCACCUCCCUCCAUCCCAAGCUUUCAAGAACAUCCUUAUUUUCAAAUUCUGAAAUUGUUCAGUCCCGGUAAGACUUAAAGGAAUGAACUCGGCCUUUCCUUGCUGGUUAAGGGCUGGAAGACCCUAACGUGACAAAGAUGAGAAGAGAAAGAACAUGUAUCCCUACGUGAUGGAGUUCAGGAUGCACAGACGAUGCCCUUCUAUACCCUGCAGAGAAGAGCCCCAUCAUGGGAUGCAGUAAGAAGAGGGAUGGCUCCAGAUGGAAGCAGGAGGGUGAUGGUCUGCAUGGGACCUGGACAUAGGAGGGUGAGGAAAAAUCUCCAUGUUUCUCAAGCGCUGACUUGGGCGAUAGUGCCUUUCCUUCCAAAAGACUGGGCCUGAUUACUUGGGCAACACUGUCCCUAGACCACCCAAAGGACUUCAUAGCUCAGCGAAAUCUCCCCUUGACCCAGUGAGUCUAAGAAUGGCCUCCAAGAUUUAUAAUUAAGGACAUUCAUUGCAGUAUGGUUUAUAAUGGUGAAAAACCUAGAAAUGUCUUGGCAUCCAACAGUUGAGGAUUAAGGAAACAGAUUAAGGUAUAUAGCCAUCAAAGUGAUAUUGUAAAAGAAUUUAUCAGUGCAAGAAAAUAUUCAUCACAACUGUUUUGCUAAAAAAAAAAGCAGAUUACAAAACAGAAUAAUUCCAUUUUUAUUUUUUAAAAAUCUGUAUAAAGGAAAAACCCAAAAUGAUAUACAAAACAUUGUUCAGAAUGUUGCUGGGUGUUGCUGUUGAGAAAGGGAAGGUGAGCAAUCAAUAAAAGCUAAAUUGUCGUAUCAUUCUUAAACAUAAGUUAUCACAAUAAGAUUUUUAAGAGCUACCUGGCACCAUGUGACGUGCUGUACAUACAUUACCUUAUUUAUUUCCCACCAUGUCCCCAUGAGUCAUAAUUAUGUCCAUUUUACAGACAAGGAAACUAAGGCUCAGAGAGGUUAGCUAAGUUGUCCAGGGACACACAGCUAGGAAGUAGCAGGGCUGGGAUUCUCACCAGCUCCAUAGGAUUCCAAAGCCCAUCUCUUAACCCUA